Molecule: long non-coding RNA, 505 nt
Organism: Vicia villosa (hairy vetch)
Lineage: Eukaryota; Viridiplantae; Streptophyta; Magnoliopsida; Fabales; Fabaceae
Exons: 2
Source: RefSeq, a predicted model, not a curated record
AUUAAAAUCGCUUAAUGUGGCUGUAUGUUUUUGGUAUGUAUCUUGAAUUAUGGUAUUGGCUGGGUGUUGAGCAUGUGUGUAUGUCAGUGAUGUAUAAAUGUGAUGUUUAUGACUGUAUUGGUAUGGAAAAUGGUAUGUAGAGUUUAUUUGAGUUUUUAUUGCUGCAGGGGGCUGUUUGGAUUGGAAAUUGGCGGACCGGUUUCUUAUAAUUGCAAGGAUGCUGCUUCAGUAGGUUAUGGCAGGGUUGAUUUUGGUUUGUAGUCAAGUUGAACAAUAGUAAAUGGCUGCCCUUUUUAACUAGUUUGGUCAUGAUGAAGAUGAAGUGGAUUAAUCAGCUUGGAGGAUUGAAGAAAUGAAGAGAAAUAGGUUUAGGAUGUAGUGAAUAGAAAGUCAAAAGACCAAUGGUUACAAAUUUGUAAUAAUAAUUUCCUGUACUUUCCCUUUUUCACGUAAUUUCACUUUAUAGUUGAAUACUCCUUGAAUGUGUGUAAUGUUGCUUGUAUAA